RNAcentral lists this ribosomal RNA (322 nucleotides) under uncultured eukaryote. RNAcentral describes it as "partial 18S ribosomal RNA". It matches the Rfam family "Eukaryotic small subunit ribosomal RNA", at positions 1470 to 1796 of the family's 1831-position model. The record is from RNAcentral.
CCCUUAGAUGUCCUGGGCCGCACGCGCGCUACACUGACAUGUUCAACAAGUUUCUCCUAGUUCGACAGGACUGGGAAAUCUUUGAACGCAUGUCGUGAUAGGGAUAGAUCAUUGCAAUUAUUGAUCUUGAACGAGGAAUUCCUAGUAAACGCGAGUCAUCAGCUCGCAUUGAUUACGUCCCUGCCCUUUGUACACACCGCCCGUCGCACCUACCGAUUGAAUGUUUCGGUGAAGAUUCCGGAUAGGACUGAUUUGAUUUAUUUCAUUUCUGACCUAAAAGCUAUCUAAACCUCAACAUUUAGAGGAAGGUGGAGUCGUAACA